This 1293-nucleotide ribosomal RNA is filed under the name metagenome. RNAcentral describes it as "bacterial LSU rRNA". It matches the Rfam family "Bacterial large subunit ribosomal RNA", at positions 1537 to 2821 of the family's 2925-position model. The record is from RNAcentral.
AAAAUCCGGGGGGCUGAGCUGAGGCGUGAUGACGAGGAACCACGGUUCCGAAGUGAUUGAUACCAAGCUUCCAGGAAAAGCCACUAAGCUUCAGUCUAGAGUUGACCGUACCGCAAACCGACACAGGUGGGCAGGAUGAAAAUUCUAAGGCGCUUGAGAGAACUCAGGAGAAGGAACUCGGCAAAUUAACACCGUAACUUCGGGAGAAGGUGUGCCCCGGUAGCGUGUAGAGACUUGCUCUCGAAGCGCGAUGGGGUUGUAGUGAAAUGGUGGCUGCGACUGUUUAAUAAAAACACAGCACUCUGCAAACACGAAAGUGGACGUAUAGGGUGUGACGCCUGCCCGGUGCCGGAAGGUUAAGUGAUGGGGUGCAAGCUCUUGAUCGAAGCCCCGGUAAACGGCGGCCGUAACAAUAACGGUCCUAAGGUAGCGAAAUUCCUUGUCGGGUAAGUUCCGACCUGCACGAAUGGCGUAACGAUGGCCACACUGUCUCCUCCUGGGACUCAGCGAAGUUGAAAUGUUUGUGAAGAUGCAAUCUACCCGUGGCUAGACGGAAAGACCCCAUGAACCUUUACUGUAGCUUUGCAUUGGACUUUGAACCGGUUUGUGUAGGAUAGGUGGGAGACUGUGAAGCCGGGACGCUAGUUUCGGUGGAGUCAACCUUGAAAUACCACCCUGAUUUGUUUGAGGUUCUAACCUUGGUCCGUGAAUCCGGGUCGGGGACCGUGCAUGGUAGGCAGUUUGACUGGGGCGGUCUCCUCCCAAAAGGUAACGGAGGAGUACGAAGGUACGCUUAGGGCGGUCGGACAUCGCCCACAAAGUGCAAUGGCAAAAGCGUGCUUGACUGCGAGACCCACAAGUCGAGCAGGUACGAAAGUAGGUCAUAGUGAUCCGGUGGUUCUGUAUGGAAGGGCCAUCGCUCAACGGAUAAAAGGUACUCUGGGGAUAACAGGCUAAUUCCUCCCAAGAGUUCAUAUCGACGGGGGGGUUUGGCACCUCGAUGUCGGCUCGUCACAUCCUGGGGCUGUAGUCGGUCCCAAGGGUAUGGCUGUUCGCCAUUUAAAGUGGUACGCGAGCUGGGUUUAAAACGUCGUGAGACAGUUUGGUCCCUAUCUGCCGUGGGCGCUGGAAAUUUGAAGGGGGCUGCUCCUAGUACGAGAGGACCGGAGUGGACGAACCUCUGGUGUACCGGUUAUGACGCCAGUCGUAUCGCCGGGUAGCUAAGUUCGGAAGAGAUAAACGCUGAAAGCAUCUAAGCGUGAAACUCGCCUUAAGAUAAGAUUUCCCGGAGCC